AAGUCGUAACAAGGUAACCGUAGGUGAACCUGCGGUUGGAUCAUUAAUAAAAUUGAAGGCUUGGCCUUUGCAAUUGACUCUCGGGUCAGUUACACACCUUUGUGCAAUGUUUGAGUGUUCCUAGUGGGCACUCAUUACACUUUAUCUAGUCUGAAGAAAUUCUUAAAUUAAAAUACAACUUUUAACAACGGAUCUCUUGGCUCUC
RNAcentral lists this unclassified non-coding RNA (205 nucleotides) under fungal sp. Its description in RNAcentral is "partial internal transcribed spacer region". The stretch from base 1 to 46 matches the Rfam family "Eukaryotic small subunit ribosomal RNA", at positions 1786 to 1831 of the family's 1831-position model. Lineage: Eukaryota; Fungi. The record is from RNAcentral.